This 855-nucleotide ribosomal RNA is filed under the name uncultured bacterium. RNAcentral describes it as "bacterial SSU rRNA". It matches the Rfam family "Bacterial small subunit ribosomal RNA", at positions 28 to 896 of the family's 1533-position model. The record is from RNAcentral.
GAUGAACGCUAGCGGCAGGCCUAAUACAUGCAAGUCGAACGGUGUCUUCGGACAUAGUGCCGCACGGGUGCGUAACACGUAUGCAACCUACCUUACAUUGGGGGAUAGCCUUUCGAAAGGGAGAUUAAUACCGCAUAAGACAGUAACUAGGCAUCUAGUAGCUGUUAAAGAUUUAUCGAUGUAAGCUGGGCAUGCGACCAAUUAGCUUGUUGGUGAGGUAAUGGCUCACCAAGGCUAUGAUUGGUAGGGGAACUGAGAGGUCAAUCCCCCACACUGGCACUGAGAUACGGGCCAGACUCCUACGGGAGGCAGCAGUAGGGAAUAUUGGGCAAUGGACGCAAGUCUGACCCAGCCAUGCCGCGUGCAGGAUGAAGGCGUUAUGCGUUGUAAACUGCUUUUAUACAGGAAGAAACGACUCUUGCGAGAGGCAUUGACGGUACUGUAUGAAUAAGCACCGGCUAACUCCGUGCCAGCAGUCGCGGUAAUACGGAGGGUGCAAGCGUUGUCCGGAUUUAUUGGGUUUAAAGGGUGCGCAGGUGGUUUAUUAAGUCAGUGGUGAAAGACGGUCGCUCAACGAUUGCAGUGCCAUUGAAACUGGUAGACUUGAGUAAAGUAGAGGUGGGCGGAAUUGAUAGUGUAGCGGUGAAAUGCAUAGAUAUUAUCAAGAACUCCAAUUGCGAAGGCAGCUCACUUGGCUUUUACUGACACUCAUGCACGAAAGUGUGGGUAUCAAACAGGAUUAGAUACCCUGGUAGUCCACACUGUAAACGAUGAUAACUAGGUGUCGGCCGAAUCUGGUCGGUGCCACAGCGAAAGCGUUAAGUUAUCCACCUGGGGAGUACGCCGGCAACGGUG